GCAGGCUGCAGGACUGGGCGUGAGCAGUUUGUCCACGGCAGCACCAAGGGAACUGGCCUUUCUCCCUCAGAAGUGGGGCAGGACUCUGUGGGUGGUCGAGCCUCUCUAAGAUCGAGAAUGGGAAUAUAAAGCAGAGAGGAGAGAUGUGAAUUCUCAAGGCAUGGCUGGAAAACAAGGAAUGCAGAUGAUGUGACUCUCAGAUGGAGCUUUUUAAAGACCACCGCCCCCUGCGCUGCGUCUAGCCACAACACAGCGGAGAAAGGACAGUAGAGCCGGCUGAUGGACCCCUGGCCCGGUUACCUGGGCAUCCCAGUCUGUGCCUGGCCAUUCUGGGUCUCUCAGGCCUGACC
Molecule: long non-coding RNA, 350 nt
Filed under: Homo sapiens (human)
Lineage: Eukaryota; Metazoa; Chordata; Mammalia; Primates; Hominidae
Description: HSALNT0029548
Source: RNAcentral